GAGUUUGAUCCUGGCUCAGAAUCAACGCUGGCGGCGCGCUUAACACAUGCAAGUCGAGCGAGAAAGGGGAGCAAUCCCUGAGUAAAGCGGCGCACGGGUGAGUAACACGUGGGUUACCUGCCCUCUGAUGGGGAAUAACCCUGGGAAACCGGGGCUAAUACCGCAUAAGUCCGAGAGGAGAAAGCCGAAAGGCGUCAGAGGAGGGGCCCGCGGUCGAUUAGCUUGUUGGUGAGGUAAUGGCUCACCAAGGCGACGAUCGAUAGCCGGCCUGAGAGGGCACACGGCCACACUGGCACUGAAACACGGGCCAGACUCCUACGGGAGGCAGCAGUAGGGAAUCUUGCACAAUGGGGGAAACCCUGAUGCAGCGACGCCGCGUGAGCGAUGAAGCCCUUCGGGGUGUAAAGCUCUUUCGGCAGGGAAGAUGAUGACGGUACCCGCAGAAGAAGCCCCGGCUAACUCCGUGCCAGCAGCCGCGGUAAUACGGAGGGGGCUAGCGUUGUUCGGAAUUACUGGGCGUAAAGGGCGCGUAGGCGGUUCGGUAAGUUAGGCGUGAAAGGCCUGGGCUCAACCCGGGAACUGCGCUUAAGACUGUCGGGCUGUGAGUCCGGGAGAGGAUGGCGGAAUUCCCAGUGUAGAGGUGAAAUUCGUAGAUAUUGGGAAGAACACCAGUGGCGAAGGCGGCCAUCUGGCCCGGUACUGACGCUGAGGCGCGAAAGCGUGGGGAGCAAACAGGAUUAGAUACCCUGGUAGUCCACGCCGUAAACGAUGAGUGCUAGACGUUGGCGAGCAUGCUCGUC
This 800-nucleotide ribosomal RNA is filed under the name uncultured bacterium. RNAcentral's name for it is "bacterial SSU rRNA". It matches the Rfam family "Bacterial small subunit ribosomal RNA", at positions 9 to 841 of the family's 1533-position model. The record is from RNAcentral.